UACGUAGGGGGCUAGCGUUGUCCGGAAUCAUUGGGCGUAAAGCGCGUGUAGGCGGUCCGGUAAGUCCGCUGUGAAAGUCGGGGGCUCAACCCUCGAAUGCCGGUGGAUACUGUCGGGCUAGAGUGCGGAAGAGGCGAGUGGAAUUCCUGGUGUAGCGGUGAAAUGCGCAGAUAUCAGGAGGAACACCAAUUGCGAAGGCAGCUCGCUGGGACGUUACUGACGCUGAGACGCAAAAGCGUGGGGAGCGAACAGG
This 253-nucleotide ribosomal RNA is filed under the name uncultured bacterium. RNAcentral describes it as "partial 16S ribosomal RNA". It matches the Rfam family "Bacterial small subunit ribosomal RNA", at positions 524 to 776 of the family's 1533-position model. The record is from RNAcentral.